UACGAACUGUGCAAACGUUAUUCGGAAUCACUGGGCUUAAAGGGUGCGUAGGAGGGCAGGUAAGUCAGUGGUGAAAUCCCCGAGCUUAACUUGGGAACUGCCGUUGAUACUAUCUGUCUUGAAUACCGUGGAGGUGAGCGGAAUAUGUCAUGUAGCGGUGAAAUGCUUAGAUAUGACAUAGAACACCAAUUGCGAAGGCAGCUCGCUACACGAAUAUUGACUCUGAGGCACGAAAGCGUGGGGAUCAAACAGG
This 253-nucleotide ribosomal RNA is filed under the name uncultured bacterium. Its description in RNAcentral is "partial 16S ribosomal RNA". It matches the Rfam family "Bacterial small subunit ribosomal RNA", at positions 524 to 776 of the family's 1533-position model. The record is from RNAcentral.